Pelobates cultripes (western spadefoot toad) is the source of this 379-nucleotide non-coding RNA. NCBI's taxonomy places the organism in Eukaryota, Metazoa, Chordata, Amphibia, Anura, Pelobatidae. The record is from the annotation of a GenBank genome assembly.
GCAGGCCAAGUUGCAAGCAGAGAAAUAUCCCAGUAUUUCAUCGAGCUGAGCUUCCGUUGACUUGUAAAUCACGUUGAUUGACGGAAAAUGGCGUCUCGGAAAUACCUCUUAGAAAUACAGGGAGGAUUUUAUUGCCACCAGGCUACAUUGAGGGGUCAGUGAUGAAAACUGCAAUGGCACACUAAAAAAAAAAAAAAAGUGUUUUUUUUUCCUACUCCUUUUUAACACUGCAUUGAGAGUAUGAAUAACUAAAGGGAUAUUUGCUCCUUUUUUCUCAUUUCUUAGAGUUAAAUAGUUCGUGCAGGGCAGUGUGGACAUUCUGUGAUACCUUAACAUGCAGGACUGAUAAAGAAGCUAUCCUGCCUUACAUGGAAUCUCC